Molecule: non-coding RNA, 1997 nt
Organism: Arachis ipaensis
Lineage: Eukaryota; Viridiplantae; Streptophyta; Magnoliopsida; Fabales; Fabaceae
Source: RefSeq, a predicted model, not a curated record
UCGGGCCAAAGGGAGAAAGGAAAAAUAACUUUGACCAAUAUUUAUUAUGAUAUAAGAAGCUGUGCCAGUGUGCAGUGUGCCUCUCUCUCAGUUUCUGUCAUCACUUCUUUGAUUCUCUCCUGCAACCAUAUCUUCUUCUAAUUUCAGUAACUGGCUCUCUCUUCUCAUAAUUCAUAAUGACCAGCAGUGCCUCCGUCUCUCACCUCCACAACUCUUUGUGUGAGACAGCAGGAACAGGAGCAGCAGAACCUAACCACCAGCAACAUGAUGGGGAAGAUGUGGUCUUAAUGAAAGAUGAAAUCCCAUCUGAUUUCAGAUCAGUGAGCUCUGAAGAUGUCAAUGCUGGUUUCACAGAUACAAACGUAUUAGAAACUCAACCUUGUAGUUCAUCAGUCUCAACAUCUGCUGGUCUGCAAAACAAAACAGUCAAUGGUUCAGUAAUGGCAGAAAGUAACCCAAAUCAUUCUGGUUUAGCGAAUCCAAAUAGCUCUGACUUUGCAACUAGAAAUAGCUAUUUGACUAGAACAUUAUUGCAGGCUGCAGCGGAUGUUGAAAGGUUAAAUAAGACUUUGCGUUCUAAUUCUAAAGCAGGCAGUCUUCCAAGGACCUGCAAUAAUAAGGGAAAAUAUUCGUCGAUCACCAACCAAAGAUGCCAUACCUUCUCCCCUUCCAACAAUAGGACAAAUGACAGCCCUGCUUUCUCCUACCAAAGAUGCCAUACCUUCUCCCCUUCCAACAAUAGGACAAAUGGCAGCCCUGCUUUCUCCUCUGCCAACUACAGGGCAAAUAGUAUAGCAUCUGUAUCUAGUGUGAAUGAUAGGCAUGCCUUACCCCCUGCAAUGAACAGGACAAAUGAGAUAGUAUCUACUGUAAAUGAUAGAUCUUUAUUGUUAGACAAAUCGAGAAGUGGAGAAUAUGAAAUGCCAACGCCACUAACUCGAGGUCCUCGGGGUAGUUACAUUGGUUUUCCCCUACAAUCUUCAACUACUAAGAAUGACUUUGCAAUCACAAUAUGCAGAGAUAGAUAUAACCUUCCAGAUUUCCAAACUGAAUAUGAAACUGCUAAAUUUUAUGUCAUUAAAUCUUUCAAUGAAGAUGACAUUCAUAAGAGCAUUAAAUAUGAUGUUUGGACUAGCACCUCAUAUGGAAAUAAGAAGUUGAACGAUGCAUUCCGUAGUGCAGAAGCUAAAUCGAUCCAGACAGGGACAAAGUGUCCAGUCUUCCUUUUCUUCUCGGUGAAUGCUAGCCGGCAGUUUGUUGGAGUAGCUGAGAUGCUUGGACCAGUGGACUUCAACAAAGACAUGAAGUUUUGGAAACUUUACAAAUACAAUGGAUUCUUCCCAAUUAGGUGGCAUAUAAUAAAGGAUGUUCCCAACACUCAAUUUUGUCACAUUCGUAUCAUCGUUGAAAACGAGAACAGGGACGUAACUUACACUAGGGACACACAAGAGAUUGGACUAAAGCAGGGCUUGGAGAUGCUGAAUAUCUUCAAAAGCUAUUCUGCCAAGACAUCUCUACUAGAUGAUUUUGACUUCUAUGAGAACCGAGAGAAAUUACUUUGUUCAGAUAAAAGAUCCAAGGGUGAGUUUGAUGGUUUAUUCUAGCUUCUUAUGAAAAGCAUAAACCAAUUUUUCACUUUGCUAAACUAAUAAAAAGUUCAGGUAGUUUUGUUAUUAGCUUUUAAAAGUGAAAAAGAGUGCCUUUUUAUUUUACAUUCUAACUUUUAUAUACAAUCUUAUCAGCUAUUGGAGGAUCAGAACAAUAUCGAAGCAAGCCUAAGCUUACAAUCCCAGGACCGGAAGGAUAUGGGUACGACAGUUACCAAGUAAGUUCCAUGUUUGUUGAAUAGAAUGAUUCUCGUUCACAUUUGCAAUUGGAGCAUUAGUAUGUGAAUUGCAGUGUUUAAAGUUAAUCACAUGUGUGAUUUUGUAAUGCCAUGUUGCUACAUUAGUUAUUAGUUCCUGAUUUGUAUGCUAUAGCAACUUCUUUUGGGUAAA